Molecule: transfer RNA, 72 nt
Filed under: Camelus bactrianus (Bactrian camel)
Lineage: Eukaryota; Metazoa; Chordata; Mammalia; Artiodactyla; Camelidae
Also listed under: 2 other names
Rfam family: tRNA
About the family: Transfer RNA (tRNA) molecules are approximately 80 nucleotides in length. Their secondary structure includes four short double-helical elements and three loops (D, anti-codon, and T loops).
Source: Rfam by way of RNAcentral
GAGGGUAUAGCUUAGUGGCAGAGUGUGUGCUUAGCAUGCACGAGGUCCUGGGUUCAAUUCCCAGUACCUCCA